Molecule: long non-coding RNA, 885 nt
Filed under: Setaria viridis
Lineage: Eukaryota; Viridiplantae; Streptophyta; Magnoliopsida; Poales; Poaceae
Description: long non-coding RNA (SVIR_LNC008668)
Source: RNAcentral
UGUACGAGGAAAUUAACAAAAUGCUUCACAACGGGUUUUCAGAUGAGGUGUGGUAUUUUUUUUCUUCUAUUUAGUCUUUUUUUUUUUUGUGAAGGGGAUAAAAAGGAACUAAGAGCUGGCUGAAAGAUGUAGUAAGAAGGGAAAAAAAAUCCAGUGGCAUUGGCAUAAUACAUGGCUGCCUAUAUAUACCUAGUGCUACCGGGCUGCACAGACAAUUCAACAAAAAUACAAAACACCAGCACACCAGCAGAGUGAAAGAUGUAGUCAAGAGAAGAUAAGGAAGAUUGGAGGUGUUGGAAUAGGAGGCAAAAGGGAAACACAAAUUACAGACUGACGCUGAUGCUGCAUGUCCAUAAUAUCCGCCGCUACCAUCUGCCUGGACCUAAAAGCAUGUGUCUUCCAUCAGGCUUGGAUAAUCACCAACGGCUUGACCAGCAGCCACGUAGAGGCUGAUGUCUUACUAGCCUUUGACAAGUACAAGUCAAAUCCACACAUGCAGACUCUCGUAGGUCAACCAUAACACUCGAGCAAACAAGUGCAAAGAAAACCGUGGAAGCCGCACGGUUCGGUUUCGUGCAGCACUGGAAUUCCUUAUAAUGUAGAGAGCCUGUAUGGAAAACGCUCGACUUUCUUCUAUGGCGGCACUGUUUCUGUGCUGCCCGGCACCAAAAGGAAGCAAGAGAUCAAAGGGAAGAUGUACAGAGUAUCCUUGCAGAAGGUGCAGUAGCAGUACAAUUCAUACACCCUUCAGCUUCAGUAGAAUCUUGUUAUAUAUUAUAUGAAACAUUGAUGUGCUUGUUGGAAGCACACAUUUGUUAGCAUUUUGCGUCCCAACAACACCUUCAAAAGGUUCCAACAGGCAAGCAGAGCAAGACCCUAGCGCAC